GGCUGGGACCCCAUCGUCCCUCGGGUCUUUUCUAUCCCUAAAUGCCCAUCUUGGGCUCCGGACCCCGCUGUCUAUCCGCGAGGCACCUCCAGAGGCCGGCGCCCCUGGCCCGCUCGCCUCGGAGCCGGCGAGGCUGGAAUGUUCUCUUCUCCUCGCGGGGCCGCUUCCUGUCCGCCAUGUUGGAAGCCGAUUCCUGUCACCGACUCUGGCCGGCUGAGGAGCGGAGGGGGAAGGGUGCGGAAGGCCACACGGGACGCUGGCACCGCUGCCCCGGGACCCUGUGCAGCCCUCUUCAGGUCCCCCGCACUGCGGGCGGCCGC
RNAcentral lists this long non-coding RNA (320 nucleotides) under Rattus norvegicus (Norway rat). RNAcentral describes it as "long non-coding RNA NONRATT004620". The record is from RNAcentral. Lineage: Eukaryota; Metazoa; Chordata; Mammalia; Rodentia; Muridae.